This is a long non-coding RNA of Oreochromis aureus, 1234 nucleotides long. Lineage: Eukaryota; Metazoa; Chordata; Actinopteri; Cichliformes; Cichlidae. The record is from Ensembl.
GACAGUCACCACCAUCACUGAGCAGCAUAUCAAAGACAUUUGUGCACAUUAACUGCAUGUUGUGGGUCAAAUGUUUGUGCAUGUUGGAGGCAUUUCCUCUUUGUUGUGAUCAGUGUUGAGUCAUUACUCAAAAAAGUCUUUAUUACACAGUCUCAUAACGACCACCUAACAAUAUAAAGCUGAGGUUACAGCCCCACACACCAACACAGAGCCUGAUGAGGUCACGUGAUGUUUCUCUGAGUGUUUAUGAACACAAAUCAAAGAUGAAACAGCACAAAGACACUUCAAAGUGAUUCUACUGUAGAAACAUGAACAGGUAGAAACCUGCAGCCUGACUGCUCAUCACUGUGUUACCUGUUCAAGUUCAGCAGCAGCAGCUCACUUUAUCACGGUGCUGGUCUGGGGUCAGUAUUUACUCAGCUUUCACGUCACUCUGGGUUCUUGGCUAGCUUAGCUUUAGCUUGGCGGUAGCUUAGCGUUUGCGCUGUGUCAGGUGUCUUCUGUGUCAUGUGUAAAUAUUAAUCACAGUGACAGUAUAGGGCUUUGGAGCGUGAUGUCACGGGAGGUGGGCCACGCCCCCUUUCGCCAUGACAGUAGGCCAGACACAGGAUACAGCUUCAGCUAUGGUUCGUACGUGAUGUGGUGGCAGUUGCAAUGUUAGAUUACACGAUCGUGAAGGCAAGAAGCUGGAUAAUGGGCUCUCUUUUCAUCAUUUUUCAUCCUGGAGGCAACGUGAGGGAUCCCAUGUAUCCGAUAUUACUAAACAAAGACGUCAGGCUUGCAUUGCAGCGGUGAGACGAGCGGAUCGAGUUCUGUGCAAUCCCCAGCUUUUUGUUGGUUUGCUCUCCGCAUUUUCUUUCCGGCUUUUGUUAUGCAGCUGCAGAGUCUGAAGGUGUGCCGCGUGCAGAAGUGAUCGAUGACGAUCUGACAGAAGACCAACAACAAAAUCACCAUGUCAUGGAGGCAGUGGACAGCAGUUGUGUUGGAUAAGUGAGGUUGAGGUACCAGCUGCAAAUGUGGACAGUGGUGAUCGGACAGACAGCAUCACGGAAGCUAAAGGGCAGACGAAGGAUUGUGUGUGCAAUGAACAGGGCAGAGUAGAAAUAAACACAACACUGCUUGAUAAGAUUGUUAAGGUUUGCUGUGUUUUGCUGAAUAUGUGCCCCAGUGUGGUUGUCAAACCCGCGCCUAAUGAAACUUGCUCUUGUUGAGUAUUCAUAAAGCUGUUGUGUUG